RNAcentral lists this ribosomal RNA (493 nucleotides) under uncultured bacterium. RNAcentral describes it as "partial 16S ribosomal RNA". It matches the Rfam family "Bacterial small subunit ribosomal RNA", at positions 28 to 507 of the family's 1533-position model. The record is from RNAcentral.
GACGAACGCUGGCGGCGUGCUUAACACAUGCAAGUCGAACGGAAAGGCCUGCUUUCCCUUGUGGAUUGCGGGUGCUCGAGUGGCGAACGGGUGAGUAACACGUGAGUGAUCUGCCCCCACCUGGGGAAAAGCCCGGGAAACCGGGGUCAAUUUCCGAUAGGACUGCAGGGGGGUGCCCGUGGUGGGAAACCAUUUUCUAGUGGUUGGGGAUGAGCUCGCGGCCUAUCAGCUUGUUGGUGGGGGAAUGGCCUACCAAGGCGGCGACGGGUAGCCGGCCUGAGAGGGUGGACGGCCACAUUGGGACUGAGAUACGGCCCAGACUCCUACGGGAGGCAGCAGUGGGGAAUAUUGCACAAUGGGCGGAAGCCUGAUGCAGCGACGCCGCGUGGGGGAUGACGGCCUUCGGGUUGUAAACUCCUUUCGACCGCGAGGAAGCCGCCUGGUUGGAAGGGUGGUGACGGUAGUGGUAGAAGAAGCACCGGCUAACUACGUG